RNAcentral lists this ribosomal RNA (497 nucleotides) under uncultured bacterium. Its description in RNAcentral is "partial 16S ribosomal RNA". It matches the Rfam family "Bacterial small subunit ribosomal RNA", at positions 28 to 507 of the family's 1533-position model. The record is from RNAcentral.
GAUGAACGCUGGCGGCGUGCCUAAUACAUGCAAGUCGAGCGAACGGACGAGAAGCUUGCUUCUCUGAUGUUAGCGGCGGACGGGUGAGUAACACGUGGAUAACCUACCUAUAAGACUGGGAUAACUUCGGGAAACCGGAGCUAAUACCGGAUAAUAUUUUGAACCGCAUGGUUCAAAAGUGAAAGACGGUCUUGCUGUCACUUAUAGAUGGAUCCGCGCUGCAUUAGCUAGUUUGUAAGGUAACGGCUUACCAAGGCGACGAUGCAUAGCCGACCUGAGAGGGUGAUCGGCCACACUGGAACUGAGACACGGUCCAGACUCCUACGGGAGGCAGCAGUAGGGAAUCUUCCGCAAUGGGCGAAAGCCUGACGGAGCAACGCCGCGUGAGUGAUGAAGGUCUUCGGAUCGUAAAACUCUGUUAUUAGGGAAGAACAUAUGUGUAAGUAACUGUGCACAUCUUGACGGUACCUAAUCAGAAAGCCACGGCUAACUACGUG